RNAcentral lists this long non-coding RNA (21663 nucleotides) under Coffea arabica (coffee). RNAcentral describes it as "long non-coding RNA (CARA_LNC003178)". Lineage: Eukaryota; Viridiplantae; Streptophyta; Magnoliopsida; Gentianales; Rubiaceae. The record is from RNAcentral.
UUUUUUUUUUUUUUUUUUUUUUGUCCAUGCUGAAGAUGGAUGAUAAAUGCUGUUUUCUUCAUCAAAACUAGUAUUGGAGGAUAAAGAAGAACUCUCAUCAUAAUCAUUGAGAAGGUAGUAGUAAAUCCUUAACUGCUUAUUCUUAUUAUUCCUAAAUUCAACCGGAAUACACUUUCGGAAAAUUAACACCAGUUAAUUUAUAUACGAGGAAGUUAUACUAUUCUCUUUUGGGGUUUCAUACCAAUAAUUGUAAUUCAAUAAAUUCUUGAUGUAUCAUUCAAUAAUUCAAAUUUCUAAAAUCAUUAAGAGUUGAUAUUUCUUUUUGACAAAUUGAACGAUAAAUUAAUACUAAUCAUCAAUAUGGUAUGAAAAAAGGUGCUCUAGAACUCCUUUAUUAUUCUUUCAUUGAUGAUGAUGACGAAGAAAAAUGAAGGGAUGGCCUUUCAUUGAUGAAGCAGGACGGUAAACAGAUUUGGGCAAGACAGAAAUUUUGACAUAGACCCAACUAUCAGCGAAGCCCAUUUAGCAAAAGUUUUUGGGGGUUUUGGUGAUAAAAACUUUGCAUAUUUGUGGGACAAGACAAAUUCUUGAGCAACCAAAACAAGCGAAAGUCGAUUACGCUUGAGGAAUAAGUAUCCCCUAAGGACAAAGUUGAUAUUUCAAACAAUUAAUUGUUUACGUGACGAGUGUUGAUUGGCUUCUGACCCGAUAGUAGGACCCAACGGACUAUAUAACUAAUAUAUGAAGUAUAAUUGGGGUUCUUAAUUUUAAUUGAGAAUUAAUUUUCAUCUCUCCAAUUUCUCUAAAAAAUUCUUCUCUUAUUUUCCUCUCUAAUGUGAAAAUCUAAGGGUGCCAAUUGAGUGUCAAAUUUCUUGGACACUUAGGCCUCGAGAAGUUCUUUAAUUUGCCAUGUCAACUCUCCCCUAGAUUAAUGCCCAUAAAAAAACUUAUUUUUUUUAAAGAAUUUAAGGUAGCCCUUUGGAUUUGGAUUUUGGAGGGUGCGAUGUUUGCUUACUCGAAUUUAUGCACAAAAUUACUUAGGUUUGACAUUAAUUAUUUUGAUUCCAAUUUCAAUAAGUGAAGUACCUAAGAACAGGAUAACUAUUUUGGGCAUAUAUUUAUUUGUGAAAAGAAAAUAAAUUUCUCAAUAUAUAGUUAGAUAAUUCUGACUUUUUUUUUUCCUUUUUUUUUGCGGGGAUAUAUAUACAUACUUGGAUGAUAUAUUGACUGAUAUAUUUAUUGUCUGCAUACACUUCAAAUUAUGCAGACUUCAAAAUUUGAGAAAAGACAUCUGCCCCCAAGUCCUCCCAGUAAUUAUACUACUACAAAGACAAACCCGAUACAGUUUCAAAGAUGUGGGAUUGUGGAAGAAACAACAAACAGCCGUCUUAAAUAGGAUAAACGUCUGAAAGGAUCUGUUUAUUGAGAAAGCAAGAUUGUGGACAUUACGAGCUGUGGGAGAUAGGGUGGAUGCACUUCCUGCCUUGGUUUCAUGAACUAUCCGGCACGAUGAAAUUGUCCCAGGUUCUUUUGGCUUAUCAUUUAGCACAUGCAAUGUGUUCUAGUUCAUCCACAACUUCUUUCAUUGGUGGUCUUGCUUUAGGCUCAGACGCAAGACAUCUCAGAGUGAGCUGAGCCAUCUUCAUUGCAGCUUUUAUUGGGUAUUUGCCUUCCAACCGAGAAAUGAGGCUUGAUCCAAUCAACCAAGUUGUGUUUCCCCGGCUGGCGAUUAACGUCCACAGCCCUUAAACCUGUUAGCACUUCGGCCAUUACAACACCAAAACCAUACACAUCGCUCUUCACAUACAAGCGCCCUGUUACAUAAGAAUUCUGCGUCAUUAUGACUUCUGACCUUUCGAUUGGCAUCUUGCUCAGACUUGAUUUAAGCCAAACUAAUCAAAACUAUAGCUUCUACUACUGUACUGCCAUGAUCUCAAGCAAGAAUCUUGAAAGAUCUAUGUAUGAUUACCUGUUGCCAUAUACUCAGGUGCAGCAUAGCCAUAGGUCCCCAUAACACGUGUUGUCACAUGUGAUUGACCAUCCGAAGGACCCACCUUUGCCAAUCCAAAAUCUGAUAGUUUGGCAUUGUAAUACUGAAAACAAAAUGAUUAAUCGACGUUACGAGCAAUGAGGCUUCUCAAGGUAUCAUCUAAACACCAGCACUUUCAUAGCCUAACCUGGUUGUAAAAUGCUUUGAGGAUAUUGAGUAUAAUAAGAAACCUACAAGCUUUAGUAAAUCAACUGUAGAAAGAACUGACUCACAUCCAACAACCUUGCAUUGGUCAAAUAUAGGACAACUGAUGAAGUAUCUUAAUCUAACUUGCACCAUCAAGUAGUAUGUGUGAGGCCUUGAAAUCUCUGUAGAUAACUUCUCUCUUUGAUGCGUGCAAGUAUGCUAGAGCUCGAGCUGCUCCAAUUAAGAUCUUAAGCCUUAAUUCCCAUUGAAGUGGUUGAACAGAAGAGCCCCCUAAAGACAAAAAAGCACCAGGAAACAAAUUUUGUAAUCGCAUCAUUACCUUAGACGAUGCUAAAAUCUCUGAAUUUCAGUUAAAGGAUAGUAAACAUCUCACUUCCAAAGAGGUGGUUGCCAAAGCUGCCCCUUGGCAUGUACUCAUAGACAAGGAGCAGCUUCUUAUCCUCCCAGCAGUAACCAAGGAGCUUAAUAAGGUUGGGAUGAGAAAGCUUUCCAAGUAUGCAUAUCUCAGUCUGCAUGAAGAAAUUUGAGAGAAACUUUUGAAGCAACACAGGAAAUGAGGAAAUCUUCAAAAUCAACACAGAAGGCGAACAAAAUCUCUUCAUGUAUCAUAAGAGUAAUUGAUGUAUAUCUCCAACAACGUCAAAAUAAUCUUUCUAGUUUCCUCUUUUGAGUAGAAAAAGUAGAAGAUAUUAGCAAACACUUUCUUCAGUAAAAACUCAACAGCCAAUCCGUUAACAUUAUUAACAUAAAUUGUUAUGCAACUUUGCUCCACUUAUUGGAACUUAAUCAUGCAAUUUUCAAAUAUUCAUUCUUCAUACUUAAUAUUGUAUUUUCUGUCCUACCAAUUAAUAUCACUGUAUUUUAAGUUUCACUGCUACACCUGAAUUCACUAGCUGUUCUUUACACUGCACUCCCCCUUGGGCAAAGGAAACUACUGUCAAUUUUGAUUCUUUCGAUCCUCUGAGUAUACGCCCAUGACAACCUUAACUGGCAUCACCAAUAUAUAGCAUAACUUAUGCCAAAUUCUGAGUAGGUCUAAUGCAUUAGACUCUCUUUGUAUAAUUGCUAUAAGCUCUCAAAUCAUCAAGAUGAAUGAUUUCAUUUUGGAAAUUUGUUGCAGGCAACUUGGUCGAUUAAACAAAACUGCUUUAGACAAACAACUGGUACUUAUUCCUUUUUGUUUUUCACAGGGAAAUGAUACAGUGAAGGAAAAGACCAGCAAUGAAUUAUUCCAAGAGAGGUGGCAUCACAAAAAGGGCAAGCUUUAUUCCAGCCUAUUAUGUACCAGUAUUUUAUGUGCUGAGAUAAUUGAUUCAGAUAAGAACAGUUUGCAAGGAAGAAGUAAGCAAUCACCAACUAAAUCCAAAAAGACUAGAAGUCGAGUUAGUUACACGUUUAGUGUAUCACCUGCCACUCAAACCCUUGAAGACUUUCAGGAUUCAUCUUUUUAACUGCAAUAACUGAUUGAGUACCGCCCUUUGAUGUUGACUUAUCAUGAAUCAAACCUUUGUAUACUCUUCCAAAUCCACCUUCUCCCAGCACACUAUCACUUCUGAAAUUUUUAGUUGCAGCUAUGAGUUCUUGGAAAGUGUAAACUCUCAAGUUUUUGCGGUUAAUGAUGUCCCAAAUUGGAUCAGUCUCCUCAAUUAUUGGGGUCUCUGAAAAUGUUGCAUUAGCAGAUCCCUGUGAUGUACCUGCCCAAAAAGCACUUGUAAUUGACCUUUGUCAUCGUUCAAUGAAUUCAUACUUAAAAACUUGGGGGGUAGGUGGAAGAGAAGGGAGGGAAAGAAUCUUUUGUGGUUAUGUUUUAUAUAUGAUGCAAUCUGAUUCAAAGAAGUUAAAAGAAUAUAAGGUAGUCUCUAAUUAUCCCCAGACAAGGCAAGCACUUGGAACAGGAGGGACUUGAGAGGAAAAUAAAAUAAGAAAAAACUAAUUCUUCAGUAAAAUAAGAAAAAACCAGUUCUUUCAGAAAUAUAGUUGUACCAAAGAUCAUAAAUUUGACCAAAGGAACUAUGUCAAACAUGCUGGGACAUGUCUCAUACCAAAAAAUGCUUACAGUUGGCAAAAAGUUCAACUUAUGUUGAAAGAAUUUCAGUAAACACACAGACAACCUCAGCAAAUAUGUUAAUGCAAAAAUAUAACAACCUAACGAUUCCAGUUUGAAUUAACUAGUUUCAAUUGUCCAAGCAGAAAGUAGCAGGAAAUACAACCAAAUUCAGGCCUGCUCAGAGAAGAGCUCAGGCCCUAGUUUUAGAGAACCUACCUACUCCAGUCAUUCCUUCAGUUGCUCUUGUCUUUGCCACUGUGCUAAGUACACCAUCAGGCCAUGGGCUUUCACAAGUAGAGAACGUUACUGACUUAGGGUCUUCCAAAGCUUCAAGUAUACGUGGCAUUACAGGCCGCUUAGAAGGCUUGGGAUUUAGGCAAGCCAUUGCAAUGAUAGCAACCGCCCACCAUUCAAUCAACUGAUCCUCAUUCACUUCUAAAGAUGGAUCCACAAUGUUCACAAAGAGUUCCUCGUCAUAAGUACUGAUGUAAGGCAAAAUGUUUUCCAUCCCAGCAGUGAUGCUCAAAUCAUUGUGAUCACCAAAACUGGGAUAACCCGUGACUAGUUCAAGCAAAACCUUUCCAAAGCAAUAAACAUCAUAGGCACAUGUUGCAUUCAAUGAACCUGGUCAUUUAAGUUAAGAUUUAGACUAAAGGCAUGGUGAAGUAUGUAUUUUCUUAUCUUGCUUAAUCUUUAAAAGCCUUUUCUUACCAAACAUGUAGCUGGUCUUAAGCAAAUGAAGAAUUUUGAACCAAAUAAUAAUAAAGCUAACUGGUGAUUGUUCUGUGUGGAUACCCAAUCUCUCAAAGUUUUGAACUUUUUUGCUAUUCCCAUUGUUCAUUUUUCUUUACGGUUUCAACUUUCAAGCAGCUGUUCACGGUUCAGAUUUAUGGUCCGCCAGUUUUCUAUUCUUCUUCCCUUCUGAAUUUGGUGUGUAAGAUGUAAGAUUGAACUGAAAAUCAGAAGCGAAUCUACCAUUUCUAGAUAGUGCAAAGAUAGGGAAAAAAAAUGAAAGAACAAACGAACGGUUUCUGAAAUAAAUUUCAUAUACCUGCAUAGCCUCCUUCAGAAGCCCUGAAUAUAAAGAAAAAGGAGUAUUAUCAAAAAUCUCAAAUAAUUGACAUUAGGUAAGAAUUGCAGUUGCAACUCUGCAGAUGAUAAGGCAUGAUAGAUUUGAUUAACUAAAUACUGUUGUAUGCUUAAACAAGAGAAUCCGGCUCUAAUAAAGUAACAUCUUUAGCUUCUUUCUUAGAUUAAAUACAUCAAUCACUAACGCCACCCCUGGUACAGAAUUUAUGUGCGUGUUGUUAUUCCUUUUAUGAGUUCAAAGAGAUAAAUUACAAUGUCAAGGCUUCAGCCUCUGCAAGAAAAUCCUCUGAUGCUUGUAGUCAAAGUCCAAAGUUUUCUCAAUUACAAUUACUCCAUUGAUGAAAAGCUUCUUGUACUCUAAAUAUUUUCAUUCCAAGGAUCCACUUGAUUAUGUCAUUAAACUCUUCUCAAGACUAAAACAUGGCCAAAUUAACAUUGCAGAAUAUUAAUCACUAGACACUAUAUCAGGAUAGAAUUUAAGAAGUAUCACAGGAAUAACAAAUACUUAGAAAUAUCACGCCUCAAAAUACUUACUUUGACAACCGUAAUAACCUUGAAAUCCUGUUCUGAUUUUUCUGCUUUUUCUCAGUACAGACCUCACUAAGCCUCCCUAUCCAUGCUUCAAAGUUUUCAUCAAUAAGUAUGCUGCGAGCUUCAAAAUUUCUGUAACGAUUAUAUCAAAAUCAUGCCAAUUGACAAGUGAAGCCCAUAAUGGAAUGCUCAAAGUUAAAAAAUGACACGUGAGGAAAAAAAAAGGAAUGAAAAGAAAAUGGAAAAGCAUUGCUCCAACACUAUUAUGCGAUUCACGUGCAAAAAGAUUCCAAAACCAAAACUGGACAGCCAUCACUUUACCAUCAGGUGAAGGGCUGUAAGGUAUUGCCGCCCAGUUAGAACCUCCAAUAUUUUUUGUCCUCUAAAUUUGCAUUUUAUUUAUGUCAAGAGGCAAGGCUAUAACAUGCCAACAAGCAAGAUUCUUGGGUUUACCUAUGAACAAGGGGUGGAACACAUUCAUGAUGCAGAUAACACAAACCCUGUGCAGCUCCAGUCGCAAUCUUCAACCUCGUAGCCCAACUUAAUGAUGUCGAUUUUUGACAAUCAACUUUAAUGCCAUCCGGGGCAAUUCCCCUAUAAUUCAAACAACUGGACAAGUCCUUGUUAAGCAUGUAUUUGUAAACCAGAAACGUGUUAUUGCCAUUCUCAAAGCAAUGCCCCAGAAAAGGAACUAAUCUAGAAUGAGAAACCUUGCCAAGAAUUUCCAAUUCAUUUACCAAGUAUGAAGACACUGACAGAUCAACCUUUUUAACAACCACCUGAAGCCCACCUUCUAAAACACCAUAAAAAAGAUCCCCAGAGCGGCCACGCUUGAUGAAAUUCGAUUUACUGAAGUAAUCGGUGGCUAGGAGGAUUUGAUCAUAAGUAAAAGAUUUCCCAACUGCUGGUAAUCUGGAGGAAUUGUUGAAAGACGAAACUUUGGUAGAAGAGGAAGCGAAGUUAAAGGAGGAAGAUGAUGAUAAUGAUGCUGAAGAAACAUCACUUGGGGUCCUAAGAGCACUCAGCCGGAGCUCCUCUCUGCGAAUAGUGGCGCUGACUAGCCUUUCCCAAUUGUCGUACACUGCUGACAUUCUUCAUCAAUAGUUUACUACUAAGGUACACAAUUUUUCGAGGAUCAUUAAUGUUGUAAUCAUUAGUACGACAUAAUCAAACUCUGAUAUUCUCAUUCCAUUACAUACUUUACAUACAACUGAAUUAUUAGUACUAUAUCAGAGACUACUAGUCUAACUCUAUGAUGGAAGGUGAAGAGGAGGAAAUGGAUCUCUUUCUUCGUCUCGUGGACUUGAUCGGUUGACUUGGCUGACUUGGGUCCGUGGCAAAAAAGACGAAAAAUUUAUUUCUCAUCACCUAGUGGUGGAUGAAAACGGAUUCUUUUUUUUUUUUUUUUUUAUUGCAAAAGUACAAUGGUAUCAAAAAGUUGUGUUUAUGUUUACACAUUAUUGUAUUAAUGUUUGCAUUAAAUAUUAGUAUCUACAUUUAUUGUAGCAAUGUCUACAUUGAACCAUAUAUUUGAAAUUAAUAAUUCACAAAAUGAUUGGUCCACACCUUGUAUUAAAUAUAUAAGCACAGAAAAAUUAUUCCCAACACCUCGUAGCCUUGAACUAUUAGAAUUAUAAUCCUUCAUUCACGCAUUUUAACAAACAAGGCAUUAGAAAAUACAAUAAAUUACGCUCUCAAUGCCCUCUACUAAGUACUAGAAACUAGAAAAUGAACCGCAGACUCAUGCAACCCUUUACAAAAAGUUUUCACCAACUACAAGAGAAAAAUUAAAGCAAAAUGUAUGAUAACAUAACUCAUGUCAGUUAUCUUAGGUGUACUGGGAUUAGUGCUGAAUUUUAAACAAAAAAAAAAAAAAUCUUCAUCAGGUUCUUACGUUCUUACAAAACAAAAAAAAAAUUUGAACUCAAAAUUUUCGCUAAAUGACUUUUCCGCAAGACAACAACAGUGAAUUGGGUUCUAGAUCUUUUAACCAUCCGGAGCAUAAUCUAGCAAAAAAAUUCUUGUAAUAGGGUUAGCUCAGUGGCUUAAAUGCUCCUCCUUCAUUGGUGUAUUCUGCCCUCAAUGUGGACAUUGUCUUGAAUCAAUGAAAUUUGACAUUUCUUUUUAUCGAAAAAAGGGAAAAAAGAAUGGAGGGGUCUUGAGCACUACUGAUGCAAAGUAGCUAACAGGAAGGGGAAAAAAUAGAAAAGAAAAAAAAAAGAAGAGAAGUUGACUUCAAGAUUUGGCCUAACAACUGUAGCAGGUUCAAGAUUUAUCAUAUCAGCUUCAUGUAAUUUCCUGAAUCCUCUCAGAAGGCCUAGAUUUUUAUGUAUUAUGGGGUCUCAUUUGACUCCUAGGUGAAAAGUGAAUGCGCUCUUGGGUUUAAUGGAUUUAUAACUGAUUAAUAAUGGCAUUGAAUAUUUGUGUAGUACGACCAUAGUUGGAUACACUAUUCUUCACUUUAUUGUCAUUUACUUUCCAAAUAUUUUGGAUUCUUAAGGCCAAUGAUUAGUUAUGCUAAUAAAUACAUUAAGAAUCAAAGACUUUAAGGAGGAGCUAUCUUUUCCUUUAUCUUUUUUCCUUUUUUGAUUAGAUUUGUUGUUAGAAAUAGCUAAGGUUGUGUUCCCAUUGCAAUUUUUAAGAGUUUUUGGGGGAUUACUGUGGCAUAAUUUAAAAUGUGAUGUAUAUAAAAUAAAAAGGCGAUUGAAAAACAAGUGUUGAUUUUUUGGAGUAUAAACUAAGAAAAAACACCUUCGUGUUGCAAAAAAAAAAAAACUUAUAAGAAACUUGUAUUGAAUCUAAAAAUAAGCUUGUGUUAUUUAUUCAUCAACUCACUAUUUAUAGUGUUUACAUGAAAUAAACUAACAAAAUAUCCAUCUAGCAAUUAUCCUAAAAUAAUCUCAACGAAACAUAAUCUUCUACUAGCAAAUCUUCGCAAAAAUAUUUGUUAACAAACCAACAUGAUCUUUGGUUAACAAAUAUACUUACUCUUCAGAUUAUUCUAAUACAAAACAUAAUCUAGUAAAAUCUGUAGGAAAAGUUAGUAUAAUUCGACAAUGUGUAAGAAAAAUUCAUGAAAAAAAAUAAAUUUUUUGAUAAAAAAAAAUCCAAACAGUGGCUAACUUUCCAUUUACUUGUUCUAAACGUGACAUAUUUUUAGGCUAGGAUGGUAGACUAUCGUAACUAGUAGCACUUUUUUUUUUUUUUUUUUUUGUCAAAAGUCAUCUUAGUAACUUUUAUACUUUUUAAAGCAUCAUAUAAUGAGAAAGAGAACAAGACUAUAAAAAUGAAAUGCCUAAAACAAAAAAGAUAUAAACAAAUAUCGACAUUCUGUUUAAUUAAUUAUUAGGUCAUGACCAUCAUAUACUGAUCUUGAGUCUAAAAAAUUAAAUAAAAGAACCUACGGGUUCUUUUUUUUUUUGUGGUAGCAAAAGUAUUUAUGUUGUUAUUACCAUUUGAUUAAUAAAUUAGUUGUAUCAAAAGUUUAAAAAGAAAUCUAUAAAUGUAAAGCAACUAUAGAUUUCUUGAGUAUGAGGAAAAAGAAGAGGAUUUCUACAUAAAAUAAACUUGAAAUAGGUAAGCUUCAUGUAGAAGCAACUUUUAUUUUUUGACUAAUCAAAUGAAAAAGGAGUCUAUAUAUGAAAUGGUUUAAUGAGGUUCAACAAGCGUGCAAAAUAAAUAUUAAGCUUCCUGAGCAUGGGCAGUUUAACCUUUUUCUUUUCUCCAUUUUUACCUUUAUCUUUUCAUCUGAAUCUUUGUAUACCUCCACAACUAAAAACCAGGAAACCCAUGGUAAUAAAGAAUAAUUCCUUCUUGUCUAGACCCAUUAAUGUUAGGAUUUGUUAUUUGCAAGCUUUUCUCUUAAUUCUUUCCCUUAUUUACUUUACCAGGACAAUCCUGUUCCUCUUCGUUCUAUACAUUACUGCAUUUGUAAACUUAACUAAGAAUAUGCCAUUUAGAAACUAGAAAGCCUCAGCCCAUGUGUAUAAGCACUAUAUCAGGUUCAAGAUUCAUGAUAUUUUUCUUCACGUGAAAUUUUCUCAAUGUCCAAAAUAAGAUACCGUGUAAAAGGAUACAGGACAGUUGGUAUCAUCUCAAUUCCCACAAAUUUGACGUUAGGUAAAUGUUUGAAAGCAUCAUCCUCAGGGUCUUAACAGAAGGGGUUAAAUGUGCAAUAACCAAUCAACAGUUGAAAUCUUCUCAAUAUCCCACCAGAAUGUGAUGUGUAUUUUGCAGAAACUUGGGCACAAGUGACUCAUUUUCAAUAACAAUUUAUGAUGAGACAUCAGCCCCCAAGUCCUCCUUCCAGUAAUUAUGCUACUACAAAGACAAACUCUAUACAGUUUCAAAGAUGCGAAAAUGUGGAAGAAACAACAAACAGCCGUAUUAAGUAGGAAAAAUGUGUGAAAGGAUCUGUUCAUUGAGAAAGCAAGAUUAGGGCAUUAUAUGUUGUGGGAGACAGGGUGGAUGCCCUUCAUGCCUUGGUUCCAUGAACUAUCUGGCACGUCGAAAUCGUCCCUGGUUCCUUUGGCUCAUCAUUUAGCGGAUGCAAUGUGUUCUAGUGCAUCCACAACUUCUUUCAUUGAUGGUCUUGCUUCAGGAUUAGAAGCAAGACACCUUAGAGUAAGCUGAGCCACGUCCACAGCAGCUUUUAUUGGGUAUUUGCCUUCCAACCGAGAAUCCAUUAUGCUCGUUAUCUUUCUUUUGUCCGAUAAAUGAGGCUUGAUCCAAUCAACCAAGUUGUGUUUCCCCUGCUGACGAUUAACGUCCAGAGCCCUUAAACCUGUUAGCACUUCGGCCAAUACAACACCAAAACCAUACACAUCGCUCUUCACAUACAAGUGUCCUGUUACAUAAGAAUUCCACGUCAUUAUGACUCUUGACCUUUCGAUUGGCAUCUGGCUCAGACUUGAUUUAAGCCAAACUAAUCAAAACUUUAGCUUCUACUACUGCCAUGAUAACAAGCAAGAAGCUUAAAAGAUCUAUGAAUGAUUACCUGUUGCUAUAUACUCGGGAGCAGCAUAGCCAUAGGUCCCCAUAACAUGUGUCGACACAUGUGAUUGACUAUCCGAAGGACCCAUCUCUGCCAAGCCAAAAUCUGAUAGUUUGGCAUUGUAAGACUGAAAACAGAAUGUUUUGAUCAAUGUUAAAAGCAAUGAAGCUUCCCAUGGUUCAAUCUCAAAACAGCAUUAUUCAUAACCUAAAUUGGUAUGUAAGUAAAAUUUUUACAGCAAGCAUAUGGAGUCUAAGAAAGAAAUUUUAGCUUUAGCAGACAAAUCAAGAAAAUUUUGCAUCCAAUAAACUUGGAUUAAUAAAAAAAAUAUGAGUAUUAAUGAGGUAUAUCGAUCUAACUUACACCAUCAAGUAAUAUGGACGAUGCCUUGAAAUCUCUGUAGAUAACUGGUUUCUUUAAUGCAUGAAAAAAUGCCAGAGCACGACCAGCUCCAAUUAAGAUCUUAAACCUUACAUCCCAUUGAAGUGGCUGAAUAGAAGAGCCCCCUAAAAAUAUAAAAAACACCACGACACAAAUUACUGCAUGGUAGAUCAAUACCUUAGAUGAUGCAAAGCUGUUUGCAAAUACUGUUAGGAUAGUAAAACUCUCACUUCCAAAGAGGUGAUUCUUAAAGCUGCCCUUUUGCAUAUACUCAAAAACAGCAAACAAUGCUCCAUUAUGCCAGCAGUAACCAUGGAGCUUAAUAAGGUUAGGAUGAGAAAGCUUUCCAAGCAUCCAUAUCUCGGACUGCAUAAAGAAAUAUAAAGAACCUUUUGAAGCAACUCAGGAAAUGUUUGACAUCAACACACAAGGUGAAUUGUAUCUAUUCAUAAAUCACGAGGAAUUGACAUACAUAUUUAACAACGUCAACCACCUUUCUCCUUUCCUCUUUUAAGUGGAAAAUGUAGAAGAUAUAACAAACACUUUCUUCAGUAAAAAACUCAUAAGCCAAUCCACUAACAUUCAGGUUCUAUUAAUGUAAAUUGUUGUGCAACCUUGCACCUUCUUAUUUGACCUUAAUCAUGGAAGUUUUGAAUAUUCAGUCUUCAUACUUAAUUUCCUUCCCUUCAUCUAAUAGUGUUGUAUUUUAAACUGCUAGAUCUAAAUUCACUAGCUGUUCUGUACAUGCCACUACCCAUUGGGCAGUGGAAAGAGAACCAUGCAAGGGAAACUUUUUUUUUUGUCCAUUCUGUGAAUACAUGUCCAUGACAACUGUGACUGGCAACACCAGAUAUAGCAUAAUUUGGGCCAAAUUCUAAGUAGGUCUAAUGCAUUUGACUCUUCUUGUAUAUUGUUAGUAUGAUCUAUCAAGUCAUCAACAUGAAAGAUUCCUUUUUGGAAGUUGACGCAAGCAAUUUUGUUGAUAAUAAAAAACAGCUUUAGAUGAACAACUGGACCUUUUUCUUCUUCUUUUUUCUUUGUCAGGGAGAUGAUAUGCCUAAAGAAAGGUCAGUAAUGAAUUAUUUCAAGAGAGAUGGCACUACAAAAAGGAAAGCUUUGUUCCACCCUUUUAUGUUCCAGUCUUUUAUGUGCCAACAUAAUUGAUUCAGCUAAGAUGAACAAUGUGCAUGAAGGAAGAAAAAAGCUGAUACCAAUUAAAUCCAAAAUGACUGUAUAUCUUCAGUCAGUUACAAGCUUAGUUUGAAUUACCGUGCACUGCUCAAUUCCUUGAAGACUUUCAGGAUUCCAUUUUUUAAUUGCAACAGGUGAUUGACUGCCGCCCUUUGAUGUGGACUUAUCAUGAAUCCAACCUUUGUAUACUCUUCCAAACCAACCUUCUCCCAGCACUCUAUCACUUCUGAAACUUUUAGUUGCAGCUAAGAGUUCUGCGUAAGUGUAAAUUCUCAAGUUAGGGAGGUCGCUGAUAUCCCCAAUUGGAUAAACCUCCUCACUUUUGCUAUCCCCAAUUGAAAAUGCAGCAUUGGUGUUUGCCUGUGAUGUACCUGGCCAAAAUGCACUUAUAAUUGUCCUUUGUCCCGGUCUAAUGAUUUUACACAUAAAAAACUUGGGGGGCAAGUGGAACAGUUUUAUCAUGUAAAUGUGACUCAAAGAAGUUAAAAGAAGUUAAGGUAGUUUCAAAGUAUCACCACACCAAUGGUAGCUCUUGAAAUGGAAGGUAUAAAAAAGGAAAUUAAAAUAAACAAAAACCAAUUGUUUCACAAAAAUAAUUGUACCAAAGAUAAAAAAAAAAUUGACAAAGGAACCGUGUUAAAAUGCUGGGAUAGGUAUUGUGGAAAAUUUGCCUACUGUUGGUUAAAAUUUUGAACUAUUCUGCUGAAAGAAUUUCAGUGAACAUAAGGGUAAUUAAUACAAAUAUAUUUGUGCAAAAAUAGAACAGCCUAAUAGAUUCCAGUCUGAACUAACAAGUUUCAAUUGUCCAAGCAGAAAGUAGCAGGAAUAUAAACAAAUUAAGGCUUGCUCAGAAAAGAAACUGGAGCUCAGGCUCUAAUAUUAUGGCACCUACCUACUCCAGUCAUUCCCUCAGUUACUCUCGUCUUUUCUGAUGUGCCAAGUUGACCAUCAAGCCACGAUCUUACAUAAGUAGAGAACCUUACCGACUUAGGAUCUUUUAAAGCCUCAACUAUGUGUAGCAUUUGAGGUCGCUUAGAGUGCUGUGGAUUUAGACAGGCCUUUGCAACAACAGCAGCUGCCCACACUUCAGUCAAGAGAUCCUGAUCCACCACUAAAGAUGGAUCAACAAUGUUCACAAAGAGUUCUUUAUCAUAAGUAUUGAUGUAACACAGGACUUUAUCCAUCCAACCAUUGAUGCUUGAAACAUUGUGAUCAUCAAAACCUGGAUGACCUGUGACUAGUUCAAGCAAUACCUUUCCAAAGCAAUAAAUGUCAUAGGCACACAUUGCAUUGGAUGAACCUGGUCAUUUAUGAGAAGAUUAAGACAAAGGUACGGUCAAGCAUAUGCUUUUAGUAAUCUUGUUUAACCUUUAAAAGCCAUUUCUUAUCAAACAUGUAGCUGGGCAUAAGCAGAUGAAGAAUUUUUCGCAAAAAAAUAACAAAGCUAACUGAUGAUAGUGCUGCUUUAAGGACACCCAAACUCUCAAAGUUUUGAACUUUUUUGCUAUUUCCACUAUUCUUUUUUCUUGCAGUUCAAAUUUCAAGCAGCUGUUCACCAUUUAAAUUUAUGGUCCACCAGUUUUCUAUUCUGCUUCCCUUCUGAAUUAUAGUUUGUAAGAUGUCAGAUUGAAUCGAAAAUCAGAGGCUAAUUACCAUUUUUCGAUAGUGAGAGCAAAAAAUAAAAAGAACAAACAAACUAUACUGCAAUAAAUUUUACAUACCUGCAGUGCCUCCUUCCGAAGCCCUGAAUCUAAAGAGAAAAGAAUAGCCACAAAACUCAAAUAAGUCACAUUGGGUAUGAAUUAUAAUUACAACUCUAUAGAUUUGAUACAUUGGGUAUAAAUGAUAAUUAUAAGAGAAUCUAGUGCUAGUAAAGUAACACCUUUAGCUUCUUUCAGAUUAAAUACGUCAAUCACUAAGAGAACCCCUGGUUCAGAAGUUAUGUGCAUGCUAUUAUUUCUUUUAUGAGUUCAAAGAGACACAUUACAAUGUCAAGCCUUCAGCCACUGCAAGUGAAUCCUCUGAUUCUUGUAAUAAAAGCCCAAAGUUUCCUCAAUUAGAACUAUAACAUUGAUGAAAAGCUUCUUAUACUGUAAACAUUUUCAUUCCAAGGAUCCACUUGAUUUUGUGAUUUUACUCUUCAGAAGUUUAAAACAUGGCCAUGAUAUUGCAGAUUAUUUACCAGCAGGCAUUUUAUGGGAAUAGAAUUGACUAGGAAGUCUCACGAGAACACCAAAAACUUAGAAGUAUCACCAUGGCACAAAAUACUUACUUUGGCAACCAUAAUAACCUUGAAAUCCUGUUCUGAUGUCUCUCUUUUUUCUCGGUACAGACAUCAGCAAGCCUCCCUAUCCGUGCUUCAAAGUUUUCAUCAAUUAGUAUGCUGCGAGCUUCAACAUUUCUGUAACGAUUAUACCAAAAUCAUGCCAAUUGACAGGUGAAGCCCAUCAUGGAAUGUUCAAGAGGUCAAAAUGACACAUAAGGAAAAAAGGAAUGAAAAGAAAAAGGAAAAGCACUGCUCAAACACUAUCAUAUGAAUCAUUCACAAAAAGAUUCCAGAACCAAAACUCAAGAGCCAUCACUUUAUCAUGAGGUGAAGUAUGCUGAGAUAGUAGGGGCGAGUUAGAACCUUCAACAUUUUAUGUACGUCAAAUUUACAUUUCAAUUAUAUCAGGAGGUAAGGCUCUAUGCCUAGGAAAAUGAAUAUGCCAACAAGCAAGAUUCUUGGGUUUACCUAUGAACAAGGGGUGGGACACAUUCAUGAUGCAGAUAACACAAACCCUUUGCAGCUCCAGUCGCAAUCUUCAACCUCGUAGCCCAACUUAAUGAUGUCGAUUUUUGACAGUCAACUUUAAUGCCAUCCGGGGCAAUUCCCCUAUAACUCAAACAACUGGACAAGUCCUUGUUAAGCAUGUAUUUGUAAACCAGAAACGUGUUAUUCCCAUUCUCAAAGCAAUGCCCCAGAAAAGGAACAAAUCUAGAAUGAGAAACCUUGCCAAGAAUUUCCAAUUCAUUUACCAAGUAUGAAGACACUGACAGAUCAACCUUUUUAACAACCACCUGAAGCCCACCUUCUAAAACACCAUAAAAGAGAUCCCCAGAGCGGCCAUGCUUGAUGAAAUUCGAUUUACUGAAGUAAUCGGUGGCUAGGAGGAUUUGAUCAUGAGUAAAAGAUUUCCCAACUGCUGGUAAUCUGGAGGAAUUGUUGAAAGACGAAACUUUGGUAGAAGAGGAAGCGAAGUUAAAGGAGGAAGAUGAUGAUAAUGAUGCUGAAGAAACAUCACUUGGGGUCCUAAGAGCACUUAGCCGGAGCUCCUCUCUGCGAAUAGUGGCGCUGACUAGCCUUUCCCAAUUGUCGUACACUGCUGACAUUCUUCAUCAAUAGUUUACUACUAAGGUACACAAUUUUUCGAGUAUCAUUAAUGUUAUAAUCAUUAGUACGACAUAAUCAAACUCUGAUAUUCUGAUUCCAUUACAUACUCGUAUAUACAACUGAAUUACUAGUACCAUAUCAGAAACUACUAGUCUAUAUAACUAAGGAUGGCAACCGCCCGCCGGGGAGGGGAGGGGGGGGGGGUCCGCCUCACUGCCUACUAAUUACCCUCGCUCCCGCCCCGAGGCUAAUAAUAAUUUUUUUAAUAUAAUUUUAUUAUUAUUAAAAUUUUAGCAAAUUCUUAAGUACUAAAAUAUCAAUACAUCACUAAAUUAUUAUUCAUUAUAAUUUCACAAUUAAAACUCAUAAAAAUAAUCAAACAAAAGUUGUUUGAAUAUAAUUUAACAUGAUGAAAUAAAUACAACUAAAGUGGUCAAGUUUUCACAUUUAACACAAAUACAAUCACUAAUUUAUUAUUGUACUUGUAUUUUUUUUUUUGAAAAAAAAUAUUAUUGUACGAAGUGUAAUUAGUAAAUUUAGUAUAAAUAUAUUAGUAAAUUUAAUAUAACUAAUUAAUAAUUUCUAUUAAUAAAUAUAUAUAAUUACUAGUAUAAUUGAUAAUAUCAAUUAUAUUAUAUAUACUAAUAUAUAUUAUAUAAUAUAUAUAACUAAUAAUAUUAUUAUCAAAAAUUUGUCACUAAUUAAAUUAAAUAUUAUAUAUAAUUAUAUGCAUAUUUUUUUAUUUUUUUAUUUUUAGCCGAUGGCGGCCGCCCCAGCCCCGUUUUUAUAUGGAGGGAAAAAAUUCCCCUCCAUCCCAACCUCUGCCCCAUUAGCCUAUUGUCAUUCCUACUCUAUGAUGGAAGGUGAAGAGGAGGAAAUGGAUGCUCUUUUUCUUCGUCUCGUGGAUUUCAUCGGUUGACUUGGCUGACUUUGGUCCGUGGCUUAAGAAACGAAAAAUUUAUUUCUCAUCACCCAGUGGUGGAUGGAAACGGAUUCAGAUAUUCUGCGCUCACUAUUGUGAUUGCACAGUGCAAUGGUAUCAAUAACUUGUUGUGUCUAUGAAUCUUAUUGUAUUAAUGUUUACAUCAAAUAUUGGCAUCUACGUCUAUUGUACCGGUUUCUACAUUGGAUCAUAUACUCGAGAAGUGAUUGGUCCAGACCUUGUAUUAAAUGUAUAGACACAUAUAAAUUCUUCCCAACUCUCUACUACUCAAAGUUAGGGGUGGCAAUUUCUGACACGACCUGAAAACACGACACGAACCUAAUACAAAAUUAAUAUGUUUGAGUUGAAGUUUCGCGGGUUUGAGUCAGAAUCAGGUCGAACCUAAUGAACCCAAAAAGAAAAUAGGUCAACCCGUGGGUGACCCGAUAACCCAUUUAUGAAUUAAAAAUAACUUAAUAAAUAUAAAAAAUAUUUUAUCUAACUAAACUAAGUUAUUCUUUUUUUCCAAAGGCAUUAACCACUUAAUCUUAAAUGAAUUUAUUUAACUUGUGUGAAAUUGAAAUUAUUAUGUUUGGAAAAAUAAUGUAUUACAUUAUUUUUAACAUUUAUAUUGUUUUAAUUUAUUUUAGAUUUGGUUUGACAUAAAACACUUUUAUGGUGUUUUAAUUUAUUUUAGAUCUGAUUUGAGAUUAUUUUAUUGAAAUUUUUAUUAUUUGAUUAUGUAAUUAGUCUUGUGCGAAAUUGGUUCUAUUAGAAAUUACAGUGGUAAAUUAAUAAAUUAAAAUUAUAUUUUAGGUCAUUCGGGUCGACCCGCCAACCCGAAAUUUUCGAGUUCCGGUCAAGUAUCCUGACCCUUUUUGGGUUGACAGGUCAUGUUCGAGUCAGCGGGUUUCCUGUUAUACUCGAGUCUCAACCCGACCCAUCAACCCAUUUUUGACUCGAUUGUCACCCCUACUCGAAGUCUCGAACUAUUAGAGUUAUAAUCAUUCGUUCAGACAUUUUAAGAAACAAAUCAUUAGAAAGUGCAACAAAAUACGCUCUUAAUGUCUAGUAGAAACUAGAAAUUGAACCAGAUACUUAUGCAACCCUUUACAAAAGUUUUCCCCAACUAUAAGAGAAAAAUUAAAGCAAAAUGUAUGAUAACAUAAAUCGUUAGCCUCAUGAGUAAAGGAUUAUGUCCCAUAUUAAUUCGAGAGAUAGAGAAAGAGCGGUUAAUAUGUAAGUAAAGGUUCGAGACCUAAUAGUUUAAACUUUUGGGUCAGAGUUGGGUUCCUGACUUAUAUAUUAGACUAUUUGAUAGACUUUCUCGAGAUAUUUCUCCCUAACAAGUGGCAUCAGAGUUUCAUGGGUUCUCUCGAGAUAUUUCUUCCUAACAAAUGGCAUCAGAGUUUCAGGUUGCGAAACUGGACCAAAGUGUCAAAGAAUUUGGCUUAUGUUGCAUCAGGUGCGCCAUGAGUUUGGCAGGGUUAGCAAGGGUCUAGAAUCCAAUUUGGAUGGUGGAUCAAAGUAUUAAGGAAUUUGAGGUUGGCAAAAGUCUAGAAUCCAAUUUGGAUGGUGAACCAAAGUGUCAAGCAAUUUGGUUUUCUCUUCUUGAUGGUAAACCAAAGUGUCAAGGAAUUUGGCGCCAUGAGUUUGGCAGGGUUAGCAGGGAUAUAGAAUCCAGUUUGAAUGGUGAACCAAAGUGUCAAGAAAUUUAGUAGACUUGAAGAAGAGCUUAUAAAUUUGAGUAUAAUCUUGAGUUUAAUGUAAGGGGUUACUUAUAAAAGGGGGAGAUUUGUUAUGGGAGGGGUCUAGAAUCCAGUUUGGAUGGUGGACUUUGGUGAAUCAAAGUGUCAAGGAAUUUUGGGUUGGCAGGAGUUUAAAAUCCAGUUUGGAUGGCAAACCAAAGUGUAUAAAAGGGGGAGAUUUGUUAUGGGAAGCAUCUAGAAUCCAGUUUAGAUGGUGGACCAAUGGUGAACCAAAGUGUCAAGAAAUUUGAGGUUGGCAGGAGUCGAGAAUGCAGUUUGGAUGGUGAACCAAAGUAUCAAAGAAUUUAGUAGACUUGAAGAAGAGCUUGUAAACUUGGGUUUAAUCUUGGGUUUAAUGUGAGGGGUUACUUAUAAAAGGGAGAGAUUUGUUAUGGGUUUAAUGUGAAGGGUUACUCAUAAAAGAGGGAGAUUUGUUAGAUUCAUGAGUAAAUAAUAAUGUUCCGCAUUGAUUCGAAAGAUGGAGAAAGAGUGGUCAAUAUAUAAGUAAGAUCCCGAAACUUAAUAGAUUAAAUUGUUGGAUCAAAAUUAGAUUCUUGACUUACAUAUUUGGUUCUACGUGUUGGGUUCUUUGAUGGGAAUCAUAUCAUAUAAGACUCUUACGUUCUCACAAAAAUUUUCGCUAAAUGACUUUGCUGUAUGACAAUAACAGUGAAUUGGGCUCUAGAUCUUGUAACAGUACUAGGUUAUCUCAGUGGCUUAAAUGCUUCUCCUUCAUUUGUGUAUUCUGCCCUCAAUGUGGACCUUAUCUUGAAUUAAUGAAAAUUGACAUUUAUAUUUAUCAAAAAAAGAAAGGGAAAAAGAAUGGAGGAGUCUUGAGCACUACUGAUACCAAGUGGCCGACGGAAGCGAGGGCGGAGGGGGUUGGGGUGUGGUGGAAUUAAGGAUGGCAAUAGGACGGGGUUGGGAUGCAUUUUAUUCAAUUUAACCCUAACUUAGUCAAAACUCAGUCCUUUAUUUACUUAAAUUUAAAAUUUAGAUUCAAAAACUAGAUUAGAACCUAUUUUUAAGGGUCCGAAUGGAUUGAGUUUGAGUGAAUGUAAAUUUUUAUAUUUGAAAGCCGUUGAUUUACUUUAUAUUCUAAAGUUUCAAAUUAUUUUAUUUUAAUAAAGUUUAUAAAUUAUUAAAUUAUUUGACUAAAACGAUCCUACAAAUUAAGGGGUAUUUUAGUCAUUGAAAUAGUAAUCCCGUCUUAUCCAAUCUCCAAUCAAACACAAGAUAGGAUUAUUUUCCAAUAUAUCCUAUCCAAGCUAAAAUCAACCAAACACUAGAUGAUUUGGAUUGUUAAUCCAAGAAUGACUCAACCCAGGAUUAAUAAUUCGAGGUUGACUCAUCCUAUCUCAUUUAGUUUGUGGACCAAAUGAACCCUAAGUAAAUAAAACAAAUAGAAAGUAGAUUGGGGUAUUUGGAAUAACUGUCCAUAAGGAUAAAUUUAAUAUGAUUAAAUUUUUAUGUACUAUCGGUGUAGAGAAUUUUUUGAAUUUUUUACACUAGUAACUACAGAUGUAUGCGACCUAUGCAAAAACAGAAUUUCAAGUUUGAAAUCGAAUUAGGGGACAUGCAUUUACACUUUUUUUAUAUAUAAAAUAGUAAUUUUAUUACUAAAAUUGUUGGAAAUUGUCCAGCAACAAAUGAUUGAUAAAGAAUAGGGGACACGCACUUACACUUGCUCGUGUAUCCAUUGAUAGUACAUAGCUCAAACAAUUAGUUAUUUACGUGACAAGUAUUGAUUGGCUUCCGGCCGAAUGGUAGGAACCAAGGGACUAUAUAGCUAAUACAGGAAGUAUAAUUGGGCUUCUUGAUUUUGCUUGAGGGUUAAGUUUCAAUUUCUCCAAAUUCUAUCUAACAUCCUUCUCUUAUUCUUCUCUGUAAUGUGGAAAUCGUAGGGUGCCAAUUGAGAAUUAAAUUUCUAGGACCGUUAGGCCGCGACAAGUUCUUUCAUUUGUCAUGUCAACUCUCCAGCAGCUUAUGCUCAAAAAAAAAAAAUUUAAUUUAAUAGUCCCUGGAACCCUUUGUACAGAUCACGUAUGUGGUUUUCCAGUAACGUUUAACACCUAAAUGGAAUAGAAUGACCAAGAAAUUGCAUUUUUAAUAAUUGGAUGACAUUUUUGGCUAAGAAAAAGGUUAAGUAAUGCUAAUAUUUUUUUGCCAAGGGAAAAAAGUUAAGUGAUAAUUUUUGUUAAGAAAAAGGUCAAGUGAUGAAAGACAAAAAAUAAUAAAAGGUAAUAGUUUCAUUAUAUUAUGCACCAUUUGCUCUCAAAUGUAUUAGUAAAACAAUUACCAAAACUGCGUAAUUUUGGUACUAAACUUGAACAAGAAUCAUUAUUGAUUCUCAGUUGAACUUUCCAGAAGUGUUCCAACAUGCGUUUAAUUUUUUUUUAACUCCAACAUGCAUUUAAUUCAGUGGUGGCUUUUUUAAAUUUUCUUUCUUUUGAAUACUGAAUGUCCAAUUAUGUGAUCACCAGCCUUUUCAGGAAAGGCCCACUUAAAGUCGAUAUCAUCCUCCACUUGACAAGGGAAACGGAUGACGGAUGGAAUAUCCACAAGAAUCUAACCACCAAAAGCCCGUAGGCCCUGCACUUUUCUUACAGGUCAACCCCAUCAAGGAUUUGGAUGCCACGACAGGGACAAAUAACGUCAGAACACAGAAGGUAAGAAUCACAGAAUCAGAAAAUUGUCUUGAUACAUGAGACGCGUAGGGCUCUUUGCCUUUCAUGCAACAGCAAAGACAUUUAAUUGUUGCACCCUCUACAGCUCAUUCGUGAGAGCUGCAUCACCGGUGGAACUUUGGCAUCAUAAAGGAAGGCUAAUAUUUGCAAUUGCACAAGUUCCCUUGUAUCUUUUUAAUUUUGUCCAAAAAGCAAGUAGAGGAGCAAAAAAGACAACACACAUGAGAUGACACACCAAUCUACAGCUUCUAAAUAUCAAGACGAAUGCCAUUACUUGAACGAAAAUAUGUGUGCUUCUCAACAUUAGCAAAUUAAUCAAUGAAUUCUUUUCAUAUGGUAGGGGAAAGUUAUGAACUUGGGCAAUAGCUAUUGGUGGGCAAAAAUCAAAUUAGCUUCUCCAAGUCCAAUCCCAUGAGGGGGUUAGAGUGUUUAAAGCGAACUCUGGUUAUUGCUGAUGGGAGGAGUGUUCAACCAGCACUUCUACACGCUCUGAAUCUGCUUGGC